This 549-nucleotide ribosomal RNA is filed under the name uncultured Geobacter sp. RNAcentral describes it as "bacterial SSU rRNA". It matches the Rfam family "Bacterial small subunit ribosomal RNA", at positions 8 to 534 of the family's 1533-position model. The record is from RNAcentral. Lineage: Bacteria; Pseudomonadati; Thermodesulfobacteriota; Desulfuromonadia; Geobacterales; Geobacteraceae.
AGAGUUUGAUCCUGGUUCAGAACGAACGCUGGCGGCGUGCCUAACACAUGCAAGUCGAACGGGGAUAGAUAGCUUGCUAUUUAUUCUAGUGGCGCACGGGUGAGUAACGCGUAGAUAAUCUGCCUUGGACUCUGGGAUAACAUUUCGAAAGGGGUGCUAAUACCGGAUAAGCCCACGGGGACGUAAGUUCUUGCGGGAAAAGGGGGCCUCUGCAUAUGCUCUUGAUCCAAGAUGAGUCUGCGUACCAUUAGCUAGUUGGUAGGGUAAGAGCCUACCAAGGCGACGAUGGUUAGCUGGUCUGAGAGGAUGAUCAGCCACACUGGAACUGAGACACGGUCCAGACUCCUACGGGAGGCAGCAGUGGGGAAUUUUGCGCAAUGGGGGAAACCCUGACGCAGCAACGCCGCGUGAGUGAUGAAGGCUUUCGGGUCGUAAAGCUCUGUCUAGAGGGAAGAAAUGAUAUUGGGUUAAUACCCUGAUUUCUUGACGGUACCUCUGAAGGAAGCACCGGCUAACUCCGUGCCAGCAGCCGCGGUAAUACGGAGGGUG